GCUAACACUCCUUUUUGUUAGGAAAUGGCGAAUCGGAAUAGUGGGAAGAGGAUUCAACACUGAGCUCAGGAGGACUGAGAUGCAUGAUAAUUACCAGAGAGGUUAUAAUUACAUUCGCAGCAUCAGCCGUAUAUAAUGGUGUUUUGUGUCACACACUUCGGGGAUUAGUUACAUAAAUGUGCCAGUGUGCUAUGAUUUUAUUGAGUCAAUCGGACUGAGGAUUAACCCCAAUAUAAAGAAUUCAGAUGGUGUGGAUAAAGAAAUCUUAGGUACCGCCUCCAACCGGAAAGUGCAGGACAAAGAAUUAAACUCAAGGAGACAGUCUAUGUAAACCAGAUGUUCUCACCACGUUCAACACAUUCAACAGGAUCCCUCCAUUCGUAUCCAGAAGGGCGCCUGCCACACACCCCCUUCAGUUAGCAGGAUAAACAUCUACCCUGUUCUAAGCAGAUGUCCCAGCACACGGAGUCUGCACAUCUGGGAAACAUUGCUGGCUAACACAUCGUUCCAACUAUCUGAGUCAUCUCUUUCUUCCUCUGUUUAACUCCAAGACGACAGCACAGUCAUUUCUGGAACAACUACAUAAAACUCCAACCAAGAAUCUCCGAAUAAAUGACACCGUUCUCCACACACAGAGAACAGAGCCUUACAUGGAAAGAGCUUGGCCACUCGACCAUCUUAACACUCCCCUCCCAUUGCCCCAGUCUCCAAACACCAACCCAGCCUGGGACCUUUUCCUGCCUAACCAUAACUCCAUUAAAAUAUUCUCCCAACGAAA
Molecule: long non-coding RNA, 778 nt
Organism: Peromyscus eremicus (cactus mouse)
Lineage: Eukaryota; Metazoa; Chordata; Mammalia; Rodentia; Cricetidae
Exons: 3
Source: RefSeq, a predicted model, not a curated record